CACAAAAUCUUUUAAAAAUCUUUACAGUAACCAUGUGAUUUUGAGAUUUUGAGUUUGCAUGCUAUAAUGUACCAAAAACGUUAAAUUUUCAGCAUUGUUAGAUUUUAAUGGCAUUUGAACAUAACCCCAAAUAAUCUCUCUCUCAUCCUAACAUUUCCCGUAAUUCCAUUCAAACCCUAACCCUAACCCUAACCCUAAGUCUCCAAAAGUGACUUCAAAUUCCCUAAUUUAAAUUUACAAGGAUCACAAUCAAGCUCUAGAUCAAGAAAGAUUCAUAAUUUCUUCUUGAAUUUUGGAAAUUUUGAAAAAUUUCGAGCCCUAAUUGUAAUAUUCAUGAAAUGGCGAAAAUUUCUUUUUGCUCUUACUGCACUAAAUUAUUGCUGUUGAAAAUUUCAUCUUGCUUUUUGGAAAAUUUAUUUUGUUGGUAGUGCAAAAUUCAAAAAUUUGGUGACAUUUUUUACUGUUGAAAAUGUUCGAACCCUAACCCUAAUCGUGACCUUUUUUUGCAGUUGAAAAUGUGGAAAAUUGUUGCGCUGUUGUUAGUGCAAAUUUCACUUAUAAUGUACCCCUUUUUAUGGGUUUUGUUGCUUCCAUGUAAGGUGUAAUUGGGUAAUUGUUGAUGUUGGUAGUGCAAAUUUCACUUAAAAUUUCGAAAAUUGUUGCUUUGUUGGUAUUGCAAAUUUCAUCUUGAAUUAGCUCAAUUCUUGUUUGUUUUUUCAGAAUGUGUGACAAAGUCCUUUUAAGAUUUCAAUGUAGGGAACUUGCGAUAGACAUUCAUCUUGAUGAUAUUAAUAAGGUUAAUUUGUUGGACCUAGCUCUUGAUUGGGAGGAUGAAUGUAUGAAAUUGGGUCCUCCAAUGCCUGCAAACCCUUCAUUUUGGUAUUGUCACAGAAAAAGGCUUGGUAUUUAUAGAAUGACAAUGAUUUAGUUGGGAUGUUUCGUAAUUUACAUGGAAGCGAUCUUAUAUUCAUUUGGGUUGGUGAGUUAAGUGUUGAAGAUGACUUACUUAAAGCAGUUAGAAGUCUUAGAAUAACCAGGGACAAUGGGAAAGAAAAGGUUGUGGAAGAAGCAAGUGGCACACAAAAGGCACAACUUAAAAUUCCUUCAAUGCAUAAUUAACAUUUAGGUUUGCCAGUUUGAUGCUGCAAUGGUUGCAAAUCUCUUUUGGUUUGUUCUCAUUUUGGGUUAGUUUUGUGGUGUUUUUUCAUAGUUUACUCUAUUUCUUUGGUUGCACUUUCUUGUAACAUAUUGCCAAAUCAAUAUCGUUUUGGGUUGAUCUUUUAGCUUGAUCUUACUCCUUUGAUACUUGCAAAUGUUAUUUCUGAAGUGAGUAUUAGAGUUUCAUGGCUGAUAUUUGUAGAGUAAGUCUACAUUGAUGGCUUGAUGAUGAUAUAAUGAUGAUCAACAGACAUUACUUUAUGUAACAUGUGUUCUAUAGUUAAUGAUUCACGAAUGCAAAUUCUUUUAAAACUAUGCUUAUGAACAGAGGAAUCGGUAAUGUUUCGAAUGAUUGCUGGCAUGGAAAAGCUCAUUCUCAGUGAUUUUCAAGAUUUUAGAAAAGCAAAAAUCUAUUCCUAUUUGGCAGCUGAAGGAGUAGUUUUUACAAUUUCUUUAUAGUAUUCAAUUUAUUAUCUUGUUUGGUGAAACUUUAGGUUAGUAUUUGAUUAUGAUAUUUUGAUUUCAAAAUUCGACUGAAUUUGCGAUUCGUUAGAAUUUCUGGUUAUAUUGUUGCAUUUUUUUUAUAGUAGUUUACAUGAUUGUGAAUAAUGGAAUGUUUUGCACAUCUGAUUAAUUGGCAAAUUUUGCUAUAAAUGAUAUUUGCUUGGCAAAAUCUAUCAACAUAUGUUAACGAAUUUUAUUACCUGAAUUGUUAAAUGUCAAGGAAAAUAUGUCAACUUAUGCCUUUUUAUGUUUAUUAAAUGGAUUGCAGAAUCGUUGUUAAAAGCAUGUAAUUAUGCAGUCUUAUACAAUUCUACUUUUUAAAUUUAUGCUGGUGUUGCAUUCUUAUUCUGAUUCAAUUGCGUUUCAAUUGGUUGCUCACUAUCUGCACAGCACACAUUCUGUACACACUCUGAACCUCUUCUAUCAGUAGUUCUACUUGUCAACAAGUUCAUUGUUGCACGCUGUGUAACUUGAUAUGCUGAGAUUGGUAGAGCGUAAUUGUUGAUUGUGAUUUUGUUGUAGUGAUUUUCUUUGGAAAGUUCUCAAAUUGGGCAAAGUUAUCAAUAUGUUUUGUUUUUAAGUGUAACUUGAUACGCUGAGAUUGGUAUAGCGUAAUUGUUGAUUGUGUUCAAGCAAGGGAAUAAUGGAGAUUCAUGUUUAACUAUUGUGUUAUAUUUCUAUGUUUUCGACUGUUAGAGUAUAUAACAUAUCAUAGGGUCUCAAUUAUCAGCUUAAGCUUUUGGUUGAGUUGGUUCCUUGAUAUGCUAUAUACUCUAACACUGACCUUGAAUUCUGAUUUGUGCGACAACAAUUGUUGGAGAAGAAAAGGAUUGUUUCUACAUAGCAAUUGACUCGAUAAUUCAUUAUGUCUUCUCCCUUCAAAAAAAUUCAGUAUCAAUGUUAAUUUAUUUGGAAGGAUUGUUGCUCACUAUAUUGUUAUGUUUCUGACUUGAAUUUUUUUUUUCUGACCUUGAAUUCUUAUCUGAUUCUGUCAAGUGGUAUUUUUUUAUAACUGGCAGUUUCUACAAAAAGGAUAGUUUCUCACAAAAUCUUGCUUUAUAAAGUAGUUUUCCUUAAAAAUGCCUCUAAUAAAACAUUAAGAAAUCUUUAAAAAAAAAAGUUGUACACUGAAUUUGAGUUGAUGACUACUGUGGAUUGUCAUGACUCAUGACCAUGUUCUAUAAGUCCUGUGAAAUGACUUUCUCGUUGUCACUCAAGGUCUGCUGAAAUUUUAGGCUUGUUCAGAACAAAAGUCUGCUGAAUUCACUCACUUGGCCAAUAUACUCUGGCUACUUGCGGGUGAAUGUUGAUAUUGUAAUCUAGAAAAUCGGUUGAUCUAUUUACUAGAGCCUAACGGAUUUCAAUAAACAUUCAGGGCCUUGUUUCAUUGUUUUUUUUCUUUAUAUUUUGCUGAUUUUUAUAUUGGUAUGACAUUUGACACAUAUAAUUUUCGGAUUUCUCUUUCCAGUUCUGGGCAGAAAUACAUCUACACCGGAUCGAAUGAUGGCUGUGGGUAUAUAUAUGACUUGGGAAUUAUUCUAAUAACUGGGAGAGAUCUUCAUUCAGUACCCCUUAUCUCAGAAUAUAGCUUUUUUUGAUUGAUUGUAUAGAAUAUUUUCGCUCAAAAUACUUUAUUGUAUGUUUGUUUCACUGUAUAAGUAUCUAUGAUAUUUGCUUCUUCCCCGUGAA
Long non-coding RNA from Amaranthus tricolor (Joseph's coat), 3351 nucleotides. RefSeq lists it as uncharacterized. The transcript is spliced from 2 exons. NCBI's taxonomy places the organism in Eukaryota, Viridiplantae, Streptophyta, Magnoliopsida, Caryophyllales, Amaranthaceae. The record is from RefSeq and is a predicted model, not a curated record.